This 385-nucleotide ribosomal RNA is filed under the name uncultured bacterium. RNAcentral describes it as "bacterial SSU rRNA". It matches the Rfam family "Bacterial small subunit ribosomal RNA", at positions 29 to 417 of the family's 1533-position model. The record is from RNAcentral.
AUUGAACGCUGGCGGAAUGCUUUACACAUGCAAGUCGAGCGGCAGCGCGGGGCAACCUGGCGGCGAGCGGCGAACGGGUGAGUAAUGCAUCGGAACAUGUCCAUGUCGUGGGGGAUAGCCCGGCGAAAGCCGGAUUAAUACCGCAUACGCCCGAGAGGGGAAAGUGGGGACUCGCAAGGGCCUCACGCGAUUGGGUUGGCCGAUGUCCGAUUAGCUAGUUGGCGGGGAAGAGCCCACCAAGGCGAUGAUCGGUAGCUGGUCUGAGAGGAUGAUCAGCCACACUGGGACUGAGACACGGCCCAGACUCCUACGGGAGGCAGCAGUGGGGAAUUUUGGACAAUGGGGCAACCCUGAUCCAGCCAUUCCGCGUGAGUGAAGAAGGCCU